Molecule: long non-coding RNA, 370 nt
Filed under: Gallus gallus (chicken)
Lineage: Eukaryota; Metazoa; Chordata; Aves; Galliformes; Phasianidae
Description: long non-coding RNA NONGGAT001289
Source: RNAcentral
UUUGACAGAAGGAGCUCUGUGUCCUUGCAGUGGCAGGGCUGUAAGCAGGUAUCACGGUGGAGCUGUCACAGCAUGGGCAAGUACAGGUCAGAUAUGGAGAAGGAAGGAGAAGUGAAUGCCUAUGACAGGGAGCCUGGUUGCUUUUGACAAGAAGGAAAACAUAGAUCUCCCAAUUAACAGUGCAGUUGAAGAACGGUAUCACCUAAAAUCUUCCUGCAUAUAAAUGACUCUUUUUCAGAAAUGCAAAUGGAUUGAAUCUUACAGCUGUACUGAGGCAGCUCCAGGUAAUACGUGAUCAGAUUUUCUCACUCUUUGGCACUCCUUGAGAUGAGCAGGGCUCUGAUAAGGACGAAGCGGUUGUGUGAGUCAG